UAGGGAAUCUUCCGCAAUGGGCGAAAGCCUGACGGAGCAACGCCUCGUGAGUGAUGAAGGUCUUCGGAUCGUAAAACUCUGUUAUUAGGGAAGAACUAAUGUGUAAGUAACUAUGCACGUCUUGACGGUACCUAAUCAGAAAGCCACGGCUAACUACGUGCCAGCAGCCGCGGUAAUACGUAGUUGGCAAGCGUUAUCCGGAGUUAUUGGGCGUAAAGCGCGCGUAGGCGGUUGUUUAAGUCUGAUGUGAAAGCCCACGGCUCAACCGUGGAGGGUCAUUGGAAACUGGAAAACUUGAGUGCAGAAGAGGAAAGGGGAAUUCCAUGUGUAGCGGUGAAAUGCGCAGGGAUAAGGAGGAACACCAGUGGCGAAGGCGACUUUCUGGUCUGUAACAGACGCUGAUGUGCGAAAGCGUGGGGAUCAAACAGG
Molecule: ribosomal RNA, 429 nt
Filed under: Actinomycetes bacterium
Lineage: Bacteria; Bacillati; Actinomycetota; Actinomycetes
Description: Actinobacteria bacterium partial 16S ribosomal RNA
Rfam family: Bacterial small subunit ribosomal RNA
Source: RNAcentral